GGAUUUGGCUCGAUAGUUUUAUUUGAUAAAGCUAUUGAUUUAAAUAUUUUAAAAUAUUAUAAAAAUUACUUUCUGCUGCAUGGUCGAAACCCAACACACAGCUCAUCUGGAAUGUUGUUUGACUGAAGGAUUGAAUUACACGGUAACUUGCCAUUGAAGGAUGUUUUGAUAAUUUUUUAUCAAAAUUUUAAAUCUUUUGGAUAGUUAUGACAUGUUGCUAGACGUUAAUCUAAACUUGUAGACUCAUAAAAAUUAAAAGAGUUUAAUUUUGAAAU
RNAcentral lists this long non-coding RNA (275 nucleotides) under Elaeis guineensis (African oil palm). Its description in RNAcentral is "long non-coding RNA (EGUI_LNC012002)". The record is from RNAcentral. Lineage: Eukaryota; Viridiplantae; Streptophyta; Magnoliopsida; Arecales; Arecaceae.